CAGCCACCAUCUCCUUGUCUUUGGAUACCCGCAUCAGUUUCAGUUGAGUUAAGCAAGACUUUAGAGAGGGAAAGGGAAUGGCAGAAACAAAAAUUGUGUUUUACUGUAGAACCAGCUGCUAUUCUACUGUAAGCCCCUUUCCUUUUCUUCUACAUUUGAAUCUGAUCAUUCUUGGUUCCUUUACUCUCUCUUUUUUGUAUCAGCUAUUGUUUGGAAAAGAAACCACCAUGGAUAUAUUACUGAAGCUACUAUCUUCUUAAACUUUGUCUGGGGUGUUUUAGAUCUCAAUAAACCAUUAACAAGUGACUAUUCUUCUUUUGGUGUACGAUAUUUUAACCCGACUGAUCUCCUCUAAAUCUUGCACACAGCUGCUCAUUGUCCAAGAACAGAGACAAGUUAGCGAGCUUGGUUGGCAUAAUUUGCUCCAAAUCUGCUAGUAGUUUUCAAAAACCAUGGCGUAACAAGCACCGAUCGAAGAAAUCAAGCUUUUGGUUGACGUAAUUUUCUUCUACAUCAUCUCUCCCUCAACAUCUCGGUGAGUUUUCCAUAGAUGUCACUUCUUCUUUGCUCUUGUAAUUUUGGAGUGGAUUUAGGUUUUGGGUUCUUAAGUGAUUGUGAUGAUAAAUUGCUGCACUAACAUGGGUUUCAAGUAUUCCGUGCAUAUGAGCUGAAAUUAAAUGGUUUUGUUAAUUUUUUUCUUGGAAAGAUCCUUGUUUUUUCAUUUGGUUUUAUGGGCUGUUCGUGUUUGACCCGUUAAUUAAUUGUUGAUAAUUAAUGGAACUAUUUUUUAUUCAAACUUAAGAGAUCUACCACUACAGAUUAAACAAGAUAAAAGCUAUGAAUUUUCCACUAGACUGCAUAUCUUUUUUCUUCUCUUGUAUGAAACUCUCCUGUUAACAUCAGAAACCUUGAAGAUAAGUGAUCUGGGGAGGUAUUUCUUUUAUAUUCAAGCUGUCAAAGGAAUAACAAGAAGAUAAAGCAACUAUGCUAGUUCUAGUUUGUAUCACAUCAUCAAAUUAUUUGUUUUAUACUUGUUAAUUAUUAAUUAAUGAAAACGAAUAUAAAUAAUUUAUUGUAUUUUUUAGUUAUUUAACCAUAUAUUUUAAGAUGUUUGCAAAAUUAUUUAUAAUUUUAUCAUACAAGUUUAUAUUAUAUUUUCCAUAUCAAUAUUAGCAUUACAUUACAAUUAUAAAUUACUAUUGCAAAGAAAACUAAACGAGUUAGCAAUUUUAUUGUAUGUCGUGGCGCUGUACACAUAAAUUUUAGGUUUUUUUUUUUUAAUCAUUAUUAAUUUUUUGGAUUCCACCUUUUGUUUAUGGUGUUUUUUGAGUUGAUGGUUUCUUCAGCUUGCAUAUUUAAAGAUUAAAGGUUUAGAUUAUGUUUUUGAACUUGAUUGGAAGCUAAUUUAACAAGAUAAAAUUUAAAUUUAUAACGAAGAUAAAAUUAAAAAAAAAUAAUCAAAUUUAAAACAAAAAAAAGGCAAGUCUUUUCUAAAAUUUGCAUGAAAGGUGCACUUUUGUCCAAAUAUUCUUCAUUGACUUUUAUUUUGAUCUUUUUAGUUUUAAUGUUUUAAUUUUUUUAUCCAAAAGUUUAUUUUUUUCACGUUCAUCCUUAAGGUUUUUGUUUUUUUAAAAAGAAAAAGUUAUUGGUAAAUGGAGAAGGAUAGAUAAGAUUAUUGGUUGGCCAUAUUCCGAUAAUAAAAAUCAUUGAUCUUGGUGUUAACAUGUUGCAUUUGACUAGAGAAGUUCCGUUGAAAUAUUGUUAAUCCUUUAUCUUGCCUAAAAAAAAAAGUAAAUUGGGGACCAAAGAUUUUUUUAUUUGGGGUAAUUUUUAGUUUUUUGAUCAAUUUCAAAUUAGUUAGAGGUUAUAUAUAUAUAUAUAUAUAUAUAUAUAUAUAUAUAUAUAUAUAUAUAUAUAUAUAUAUAUAUAUAUAGAUGUUAUGUUUAUGGGUUGUUUAUUUACUUUUUAAGUGUGAAAAAGAUUUGAAAAUGUGUUUUUCUUUUUUAUCCAAGAGGUUGAGACUCGACUUUUUGAUUGUCUCUUGUUUUGUUCUGUCUUUAGAUAGUAUUUGGAUAUGCUGGUGCGACUAAAAGAAAAGCAGUGUAACACAUGUUUGGUUACCACUAACUACAGUUUUUUUUUAUGCUGGUCCAGUUCAAACCUUGAGUUUAUGGUGUUUUUUGAGUUGAUGGUUUCUUCAGCUUGCAUAUUUAAAGAUUAAAGGUUUAGAUUAUGUUUUUGAACUUGAUUGGAAGCUAAUUUAACAAGAUAAAAUUUAAAUUUAUAACGAAGAUAAAAUUAAAAAAAAAUGAUCAAAUUUAAAACAAAAAAAAGGCAAGUCUUUUCUAAAAUUUGCAUGAAAGGUGCACUUUUGUCCAAAUAUUCUUCAUUGACUUUUAUUUUGAUCUUUUUAGUUUUAAUGUUUUAAUUUUUUUAUCCAAAAGUUUAUUUUUUUCACGUUCAUCCUUAAGGUUUUUGUUUUUUUAAAAAGAAAAAGUUAUUGGUAAAUGGAGAAGGAUAGAUAAGAUUAUUGGUUGGCCAUAUUCCGAUAAUAAAAAUCAUUGAUCUUGGUGUUAACAUGUUGCAUUUGACUAGAGAAGUUCCGUUGAAAUAUUGUUAAUCCUUUAUCUUGCCUAAAAAAAAAAGUAAAUUGGGGACCAAAGAUUUUUUUAUUUGGGGUAAUUUUUAGUUUUUUGAUCAAUUUCAAAUUAGUUAGAGGUUAUAUAUAUAUAUAUAUAUAUAUAUAUAGAUGUUAUGUUUAUGGGUUGUUUAUUUACUUUUUAAGUGUGAAAAAGAUUUGAAAAUGUGUUUUUCUUUUUUAUCCAAGAGGUUGAGACUCGACUUUUUGAUUGUCUCUUGUUUUGUUCUGUCUUUAGAUAGUAUUUGGAUAUGCUGGUGCGACUGAAAGAAAAGCAGUGUAACACAUGUUUGGUUACCACUAACUACAGUUUUUUUUUAUGCUGGUCCAGUUCAAACUGCGGUUGAAUUGCAAAAAGCAGUGUAACACAUGUAACACAUGUUUGGUUACAACUAACCACAGUUUUUUUUUAUGUUGGUCCUAGUUCAAACUGCGGUUGAAUUGCAAAAAGUGAAAAGCAAUUACAAGCGUGUUUGGUAUUGUGAUAGCUUUUGUGGUUGUGGUUUGAAAAAAAAUAGUUUAAUAAAAAAUACUUUUUGUGAGAUUGAUUUCAAACAAAGUUGGUGUUUGGUUAAAAUUGUGGUUGAAGUUGUGGUUUUAAAAAAAACAGUUUCUUGUGUUUGGUUAAAAAACUGUGGUUGAAAUUGUGGUGGAAAAAAAACAGUUUUGUGUUUGGUAAAACUGUGGUUUAAAUUGUAGUUAAAAAAAUAGUUUCUUGCAUUUGGUUAAUAUGGUUUGUGUUUUAUAUUUGAUUUGAGUUAAUUAAAAGGAUAUAUAUAGACACACAUAUAUAUAAUUCCAAAACAUAGGUGUUUUAUAAUUAUGAUUACAUAACAAAAUGAAAAAUCCUUAUGCAUUAUGUACUCCUGUAUUGUUCCAUCAAACUAUUUGCAAUUCCAUCGCAUACAAAAUCCAUACGUGAAGGCCUCUGUGAGCCUUGAAUGGCCGAAGCCUGAACAAUAUCAGGUAAAAAGUCAUCUGGAAUUAAAUUGGGGUUGCGAUCAUACUUAGAAAAAACUGCAUCGUCUUGUGAUCUCCUUCUAAUAUAGUUAUGUAGUGUCAUUGAUGCAACUACAAUCUUAACUUGUGUUCUGUAUGGAUAAGCAUGCAUGUUUUGCAAAAUUUUCCACUUCUGUUUCCAUACCUUAAAAGAAUGUUCGAUCACGUUAAGUAGUGACAGGUGUGCACGAUUAAACACUUCUUUCCGACCACUUGGUUGUCCAAACUAUCUAAAUUCUUGAAAGUGAUACCUCUAGCCUUUGUAGGGACCUAAAUCCAUACUCGUUUGGAUAUCCAGCAUCAACCAAAUAGUAUUUUCCUGAAAAAAACAACAUUGUAAUUUUAAACAAACUUAAAAAAAAUUAUAUUCCUUCAAUUACCAAAUCUUCAAUUUAGUCAAAAUCACAACCUUCUGGAGGUUUUGGAAAUUGAUAUUGCUAUUGUCAAUAGCCUCAAGAAAAAUACGCGUAUCGUGUGCACUGUCUUCCCAUCCUGCCCACGAACAUGAAUUGCAUGUGAAACUACAAGCGGCCAUGACAUUUUGUGUUGGUACACCUUUUCUUCCAAUAAAUGGAAUUUGAUUUGCAGAUAUGCAGGCACGAACAUGUGUUCCAUCAAUUGCACCGACACAAUUCUACAACCACAAAAACAUUAAGUACUCAUAAACAUUUAUAACAUAUUUCAUUACUCUUUAAACAACUUAAUUAAACUACUUAAUUAUACAAAAAUUCAUCUUACCUUGAAAUGUGGCAUAAAUCUUGGAUUCAUAGCAAUUUCUCUUGGUGUGCUUGUAAAUUGUGGAUCUACUGGUUUUAUGACUUCCACAACAAACAAACGUAAUGAUUUAAGCACUUCUUUAAAACAUCUACUAAUAGUUUCACCUGAAUGCUGGAAUCUUUCCUGCACUUGUCUAUUUGACGCCCCAACUGCUAUUGUAAAUAGAAACAUUGCACCUUUUCAAUAACGCUCAUUCUUCUUGAUGGUAUUAAGCCAUGGUGCGUUUCUAAUUCAGUGCACAGACUCAACAAAGUGGUUGCGUUCAUCCUGAACAUGUUAACACUUCCUUUCCAAUGACCACUUAAAACCUCUGUCAACCAACGCAUCCCUAUAUUAUACGAAACCAUACAUGGUUCUUUAUACAUAUAAUUAAUAUAAUACAUGUUUAUAGCUCCAGCUGUGCAUAUAAUUAAUUUUUUCAUAUCAAAAUGCCUCAUUAAAAUAAAUUCAUCGUCAUCAUCACUGUCAUCGUCACUGUCAUCAUCACUGUCAUCGUUACUAUCAUCGGCGUCGUUUCCAUCACUGUCAUCUCCAGCACCAGAAAAUGAGGCACCACUACCUUCACAACUAGGAUAAUUAAUGUGGUCUACAAUGCGGUUCAUUAUAUUAUCAUAAUUGCCAUCGAAAUCCCCAUUAAAUAUGUCAUUAAACCGUGAAUCAUCCAUAACUUCAAUUACAUGGAAACAAAAAAAAAAUUAUAUGUUGUUAAUAAAAAUAUUUAAAUAUCAUUCAAUAAAAAAGAAUUAUCAAAUAGUUGGUGCAACAGAAGUUUUUCAUACCUGUAAAGCCAACAAAAAACAGUGUGGUUGAGUUGAGAGGUUUGUUAUGAAGUAAAAAAAUUCUUUGAAAGUUGGCUUACAAAGAAUCCUCUUUAUAUAGAAAAAAAAACUCAAUGCUUUUUACAUCUCUUUUACAAGUUAUUUUAUUUAGCUUUCAAUAUAAGUACAUUAUCACAUGUAUAGACUGUAAAAGUAACAUAUAAUGUUAAUUUUACAGCUAAUAUAUUCUGACAUGUAUUUUUUUACUUCAUAACAAACCUCUCAAACCUCAACUGCAUUUCAUACAAGCAAGUAGAACACUGUUUUUUGUUGGCUUUACAGGUAUGAAAAAACUUCUGUUGCACCAACUAUUUGAUAAUUCUUUUUUAUUGAAUGAUAUUUAAAUAUUUUUAUUAACAACAUAUACUUUUUUUUUUGUUUCCAUGUAAUUGAAGUUAUAGAUGAUUCACGGUUUAAUGACAUAUUUAAUGGGGAUUUCAAUGACAAUUAUGAUAAUAUAAUGAACCGCAUUGUAGACCACAUUAAUUAUCCUAGUUGUGAAGGUAGUGAUGCCUCAUUUUCUAGUGCUGGAGAUGACAGUGAUGGAAACGACGUCGAUGAUAGUGAUGAUGACGAUGAAUUUAUUUUAAUGAGGCAUUUUGAUAUGAAAAAAUUAAUUAUAUGCACAGCUAGAGUGUAAGAUCUCACAUCGAAGUGCAUUGACUAGUAAGAUGCGUUUUGGGGUCAUGCGUGGCUGCCAAGAACAAAACCGUGAGGGGGACCUGGGUGGAAGCCCUGGAUUUGGGUGGACUAGGAGCCUAAAACGGAUAAUAUCUUGCUAGUGAGGUGGGGUGUUACAUUUGGUAUCAAAGUCGAGGACAACUCGUCUUAAGGUGGGGGAUUGUAAGAUCCCACAUUGAAAGCGAGCAUCCAAAGCCAGGGCCUUAUAAGUGCAUGCUCACCUUGACUAGUAAGACGCGUUUUGGGGUCAUGUGUGGUUGUCAAGAAUAAAACCAUGAGGGGGACCUGGGUGGAAGCCCUGGAUUUGGGUGGACUGGGAGGCCCAAAGCGGACAAUAUCUUGCUAGUGAGGUGGGGUGUUACAUGGAACUAUAAACAUGUAUUAUAUUAAUUAUAUGUAUAAAGAACCAUGUAUGGUUUCGUAUAAUACAGGGAUGCAUUGGUUGACAGAGGUUUUAAAUGGUCAUUGGAAACGAAGUGUUAACAUGUUCAGGAUGGACGCAACCACUUUGUUGAGUUUGUGCACUGAAUUAGAAACGCACCAUGACUUAAAACCGUCAAGAAGAAUGAGCGUUAUUGAAAAUAUGACAAUGUUUCUAUUUACAAUAGCAGUUGGGGCGUCAAAUAGACAAGUGCAUGAACGAUUUCAGCAUUCAGGUGAAACUAUUAGUAGAUGUUUUAAAGAAGUGCUUAAAUCAUUAUGUUUGUUUGUUGUGGAAGUCAUAAAACCAGUAGAUCCACAAUUUACGAGCACACCAAUAGAAAUUUCUAUGAAUCCAAGAUUUAUGCCACAUUUCAAGGUAAGAUGAAUUUUUGUUUAAUUAAGUUGUUUAAAUGAGAAUGAAAUAUGUUAUAAAUGUUUAUGAGUACUUAAUGUUUUUGUGAGUUGUAUAAUUGUGUGGGUGCAAUUGAUGGAACAUAUGUUCGUGCUUGCAUAUCAUCUGAAACUCAAAUUCCAUUUAUUGGAAGAAAAGGUUUACCAACACAAAAUGUCAUGGCCGCUUCUAGUUUCAACAUACAAUUCAUGUUCGUGUGGGUGGGAUGGGAAGGCAGUGCAAACGAUACGCGUAUUUUUCUUGAGGCUAUUGACAAUAGCAAUAUCAAAUUUCCAAAACCUCCAGAAGGUUGUGAUUUUGACUAAAUUGAAGAUUUGGUAAUUGAAGGAAUAUAAUUUUUUUUUUUAAGUUCUGUUAUUAAUUACCAUGUUGUUAUUAUUUGCAGAAAAAUACUAUUUGGUUGAUAUUGGAUAUCCAAACAAGUAUGGGUAUUUAGGUCCCUACAAAGGCGAGAGGUAUCACUUCCAAGAAUUUAGACGGCUUGGACAACCAAGUGGUCGGAAAGAAGUGAUUAAUCGUGCACACUCGUCACUACGUAAUGUGAUCGAACGUUCUUUUGGGGUAUGGAAACAGAGGUGGAAAAUUUUGCAAAACAUGCCUGCUUAUACAUACAAAACACACGUUGAGAUUGUAGUUGCAUUAGAAGGAGAUCGCAAGACGAUGUAGUUUUUUCUAAGUAUGAUCGCAACCCCAAUUUAAUUCUAGAUGACUUUUACCUGAUAUUGUUUAGGCUUCGACCGUUCAAGGCUCACAGACGCAUUCACGUAUGGAUUUUGUACGCGAUGGAAUUGCAAAUAGUUUGAUGGAACAAUAAAGGAGUACAUUAAUGCAUAAUGAUUUUUCAUUUUGUUAUGUAAUCAUAAUUACAAAACACCUAUGUUUUGGAAUUAUAUAUAUGUGUGUCUAUAUAUAUCUUUUUAAUUAAUUCAAAUCAAAUAUAAAACACAAACCAUAUUAACUAAAUGUAAGAAACUAUUUUUUUUUAACCACAGUUUUACCAAAUACAAAACUGUUUUUUUUUCAUCACAAUUUCAACCAUAGUUUUUUAACCAAACACAAGAAACUGUUGUUUUUUAAACUAAAACUUCAACCACAGUUUUAACCAAACACCAACUUUUUUUGAAAUCAACAUCACAAAAAGUACUUUUUAUUAAACUAUUUUUUUCAAACCACAACUACAAAAGCUACCACAAUACCAAACACGCUUGAAUUCCAUUGUUGAAGACAAGUUAUUCUUUUUUUAUUAAAAAAAAAUACAUGCACGAACUAAUCGCCCACCUAUCUUGAAAAAAAUGGCUAGGCAAGCAGACCUGUCCAUGUAGGUCCAUGCGAAUCUAGUCUUCUUUGUUAUGGGUUAGGCGUGCUGGCCCACACGAGCCAAUGCACAUAACCAUCUUUUUUUUUGGUUUUUAUGUUUUUUUUUUAUUUUAAUAAGAUUUUUUAAAAAUAAAUUAGUUAAAAAUAUAUUGAGGAUUUUAUUUUAGUUAACCUCAUUUUAUUUUUACUUAGUUUUUUAAUAAUAUUAUAAAUCUUUUUGUACAACUGAUCAUGAUAGUUUUUAGUUUUUUUUUUUAAAAAAAUUAUUCAUCGACUUUUCCACACGAUUAUAUUUAUCAUAUUAUAAUUAAAUAAAAAAUUGAUUUUAAAACUUUUCUCGCAACAUUGCGUGAAUACAUUCGCGUCAACAUUAUCAAAAAAAUAUUUUUUAUUAGAAUUUUCUUUUAUAAUUUUGAUAAAAUUUUCCUUAAAACAACUAAAUAUUCAGGUUAAGAAACUAUAAAAUAAAAUAAAAAUGUAAGUGCAUUAAUAAGAUAAAGAGGUUUUGAUUUGGAAGAUAUUUUUUUAUCAUUAUUUUAAAUUUUCAUAAUUGUUUGAAUAUUUAUUUAAUUAUUUUUUAAUUUUUAUCAAAUAAAAUGCAUAGCACAAUAAAGCUAUAUUUUUAUGGAGGAAAGUAGAUUAAUGAGAAAAGAAGGAAUUACACUAAUAAAUUAUUUUAUUUGGAUGAAAUUUAAAUUCUUAGUUUUCUUACAAAAAAAUAAAAUUAUUGAUAUAUAUUUAAAUUAAAAAAAAAUCUCAACUUUUGUAUUUAAUUUUUAGUAAUGCAAACAACUCUUUUAAACAUUUUUUUACAUAUAUAAUUUUUAAUUUAUUUACUUUUUAUUUAACAGUUAAAUUUUUCUUGAAGCUAAAAAACAUUAAAAAUAACUCCAAAAUUCUGAAAGCUCACAUCACAUCACCUCAUCGUAUCCAUUAAAAACUAUUUCCGGCCAAAACUUAUUUCUGGGUUGAAUAUUAAUUCACACAUCGCAUCAGUGAAAUAACUUGAAGUGGCUCGUCCUUCUGUAUGAAGUUAACCCUCUUCAAGCCUUCAAUUCGAACUCGCCAGGCUCACUGUAAUGCCUUUUUCUAAAUGCUCAAUCUUUUUUAUUCUGAAGCCCCUGGUCCGUAUUUCCUCAGGUACUGAAGUAUCUUUGUAGAUGCUCCGUCUUUGCCGCAC
RNAcentral lists this long non-coding RNA (9245 nucleotides) under Populus tremula. Its description in RNAcentral is "long non-coding RNA (PTRE_LNC002324)". The record is from RNAcentral. Lineage: Eukaryota; Viridiplantae; Streptophyta; Magnoliopsida; Malpighiales; Salicaceae.